UACGGAGGGUGCAAGCGUUAUCCGGAUUUAUUGGGUUUAAAGGGUCCGUAGGCGGGCCCGUAAGUCAGUGGUGAAAUCUCGCAGCUUAACUGCGAAACUGCCAUUGAUACUGCGGGUCUUGAGUGAAUUUGAAGUGGCUGGAAUAAGUAGUGUAGCGGUGAAAUGCAUAGAUAUUACUUAGAACACCGAUUGCGAAGGCAGGUCACUAAGAUUCAACUGACGCUGAGGGACGAAAGCGUGGGGAGCGAACAGGAUUAGAUACCCUGGUAGUCCACGCCGUAAACGAUGCUAACUCGUUUUCGGGCCGCAAGGCUCGGAGACCAAGCGAAAGUGAUAAGUUAGCCACCUGGGGAGUACGUCCGCAAGGAUGAAACUCAAAGGAAUUGACGGGGGCCCGCACAAGCGGUGGAUUAUGUGGUUUAAUUCGAUGAUACGCGAGGAACCUUACCAAGACUUAAAUGGGAAUUGACAGAUUUAGAAAUAGAUCCUCCUUCGGGCAAUUUUCAAGGUGCUGCAUGGUUGUCGUCAGCUCGUGCCGUGAGGUGUUAGGUUAAGUCCUGCAACGAGCGCAACCCCUGUCGCUAGUUGCCAUCAUUCAGUUGGGGACUCUAGUGAGACUGCCUACGCAAGUAGAGAGGAAGGUGGGGAUGACGUCAAAUCAUCACGGCCCUUACGUCUUGGGCCACACACGUAAUACAAUGGCCGGUACAGAGGGCAGCUACCACGCGAGUGGAUGCGAAUCUCGAAAGCCGGUCUCAGUUCGGAUUGGAGUCUGCAACUCGACUCUAUGAAGCUGGAAUCGCUAGUAAUCGCGCAUCAGCCAUGGCGCGGUGAAUACGUUCCCGGGCCUUGUACACACCGCCCGUCAAGCCAUGGAAGUCUGGGGUACCUGAAGUCGGUGACCGUAAAAGGAGCUGCCUAGGGUAAAACAGGUAACUAGGGCU
This 944-nucleotide ribosomal RNA is filed under the name uncultured bacterium. RNAcentral's name for it is "bacterial SSU rRNA". It matches the Rfam family "Bacterial small subunit ribosomal RNA", at positions 524 to 1482 of the family's 1533-position model. The record is from RNAcentral.